CGAUCCUACGGGGGGCAGCAGUGAGGAAUAUUGGUCAAUGGUCGGGAGACUGAACCAGCCAAGCCGCGUGAGGGAGGAAGGUACAGAGUAUCAUAAACCUCUUUUGUCAGGGAACAAAGGCGGGGACGUGUCCCCGGAUGAGUGUACCUGAAGAAAAAGCAUCGGCUAACUCCGUGCCAGCAGCCGCGGUAAUACGGAGGAUGCGAGCGUUAUCCGGAUUUAUUGGGUUUAAAGGGUGCGCAGGCGGUCUGUUAAGUCAGCGGGCAAAGCCCGGGGCGCAACCCCGGCCCGCCGUUGAAAAUGGG
RNAcentral lists this ribosomal RNA (305 nucleotides) under uncultured bacterium. RNAcentral's name for it is "bacterial SSU rRNA". It matches the Rfam family "Bacterial small subunit ribosomal RNA", at positions 333 to 637 of the family's 1533-position model. The record is from RNAcentral.